This 492-nucleotide ribosomal RNA is filed under the name uncultured bacterium. RNAcentral's name for it is "partial 16S ribosomal RNA". It matches the Rfam family "Bacterial small subunit ribosomal RNA", at positions 29 to 507 of the family's 1533-position model. The record is from RNAcentral.
AGUGAACGCUGGCGGUAGGCCUAACACAUGCAAGUCGAACGGCAGCACUGUAAGAGCUUGCUCUUACGGGUGGCGAGUGGCGGACGGGUGAGGAAUACAUCGGAAUCUACUUUUUCGUGGGGGAUAACGUAGGGAAACUUACGCUAAUACCGCAUACGACCUACGGGUGAAAGCAGGGGAUCUUCGGACCUUGCGCGAUUGAAUGAGCCGAUGUCGGAUUAGCUAGUUGGCGGGGUAAAGGCCCACCAAGGCGACGAUCCGUAGCUGGUCUGAGAGGAUGAUCAGGCACACUGGAACUGAGACACGGUCCAGACUCCUACGGGAGGCAGCAGUGGGGAAUAUUGGACAAUGGGCGCAAGCCUGAUCCAGCCAUACCGCGUGGGUGAAGAAGGCCUUCGGGUUGUAAAGCCCUUUUGUUGGGAAAGAAAAGCAGCAGGUUAAUACCCCGCUGUUCUGACGGUACCCAAAGAAUAAGCACCGGCUAACUUCGUG